This 497-nucleotide ribosomal RNA is filed under the name uncultured bacterium. RNAcentral's name for it is "partial 16S ribosomal RNA". It matches the Rfam family "Bacterial small subunit ribosomal RNA", at positions 28 to 507 of the family's 1533-position model. The record is from RNAcentral.
GAUGAACGCUGGCGGCGUGCCUAAUACAUGCAAGUCGAGCGAACGGACGAGAAGCUUGCUUUUCUGAUGUUAGCGACGGACGGGUGAGUAACACGUGGAUAACCUACCUAUAAGACUGGGAUAACUUCGGGAAACCGGAGCUAAUACCGGAUAAUAUUUUGAACCGCAUGGUUCAAAAGUGAAAGACGGUCUUGCUGUCACUUAUAGAUGGAUCCGCGCUGCAUUAGCUAGUUGGUAAGGUAACGGCUUACCAAGGCAACGAUGCAUAGCCGACCUGAGAGGGUGAUCGGACACACUGGAACUGAGACACGGUCCAGACUCCUACGGGAGGCAGCAGUAGGGAAUCUUCCGCAAUGGGCGAAAGCCUGACGGAGCAACGCCGCGUGAGUGAUGAAGGUCUUCGGAUCGUAAAACUCUGUUAUUAGGGAAGAACAUAUGUGUAAGUAACUGUGCACAUCUUGACGGUACCUAAUCAGAAAGCCACGGCUAACUACGUG